Molecule: long non-coding RNA, 334 nt
Filed under: Vitis vinifera (wine grape)
Lineage: Eukaryota; Viridiplantae; Streptophyta; Magnoliopsida; Vitales; Vitaceae
Description: long non-coding RNA (VVIN_LNC003752)
Source: RNAcentral
CUAACAUUUACGCACCUCCAAAAUCCGUUUGUGUUGCAUGUUUCACUUAGUGUCUGGUCGAUCAACUCCAAGGCCUUGUCUUCUUUCCACAGCUUCUAUGCCUAGGAUAGUUUGAAAACAUAAAGUUAUAUGGCAUAUGCAGAGAGAAUGACUAAAAUAUCAGUGCAACUGAAAGAUCCAAAGUUCUUACAUGACUUGGAAGGCCCAGAGUUCGGUCAAACUAAUAAAAUCUAGUGUUCCUCUUCCCAUUGGUGAUCUCAAGUACCAUAACACCGAAGCUAAAGACAUCAGACUUUUCUAAGAAAAAUCCAUCCAAUGCAUACUCUGGAGACAU